CAGCCGCCGCGGUAAUACGGAGGGUGCAAGCGUUAUCCGGAUUCACUGGGUUUAAAGGGUGCGUAGGCGGGCAGGUAAGUCAGUGGUGAAAUCUUCGAGCUUAACUCGGAAACUGCCGUUGAUACUAUCUGUCUUGAAUAACGUUGAGGUGAGCGGAAUAUGUCAUGUAGCGGUGAAAUGCUUAGAUAUGACAUAGAACACCGAUUGCGAAGGCAGCUCACUAAACGCUCAUUGACGCUGAGGCACGAAAGCGUGGGGAUCAAACAGGAUUAGAUACCCCAGUAGUCCCUGUCUCUUAUAC
Molecule: ribosomal RNA, 301 nt
Filed under: uncultured bacterium
Lineage: Bacteria
Description: partial 16S ribosomal RNA
Rfam family: Bacterial small subunit ribosomal RNA
Source: RNAcentral